UUNUGAACUGGGUGACUAGAGUGUGUCAGAGGGAGGUAGAAUUCCACGUGUAGCAGUGAAAUGCGUAGAGAUGUGGAGGAAUACCGAUGGCGAAGGCAGCCUCCUGGGAUAACACUGACGUUCAUGCUCGAAAGCGUGGGUAGCAAACAGGAUUAGAUACCCUGGUAGUCCACGCCCUAAACGAUGUCAAUUAGCUGUUGGGCAACUUGAUUGCUUAGUAGCGUAGCUAACGCGUGAAAUUGACCGCCUGGGGAGUACGGUCGCAAGAUUAAAACUCAAAGGAAUUGACGGGGACCCGCACAAGCGGUGGAUGAUGUGGAUUAAUUCGAUGCAACGCGAAGAACCUUACCUGGUCUUGACAUGUACGGAAUCCUCCAGAGACGGAGGAGUGCCUUCGGGAGCCGUAACACAGGUGCUGCAUGGCUGUCGUCAGCUCGUGUCGUGAGAUGUUGGGUUAAGUCCCGCAACGAGCGCAACCCUUGUCAUUAGUUGCCAUCAUUUAGUUGGGCACUCUAAUGAGACUGCCGGUGACAAGCCGGAGGAAGGUGGGGAUGACGUCAAGUCCUCAUGGCCCUUAUGACCAGGGCUUCACACGUCAUACAAUGGUCGGUACAGAGGGUAGCCAAGCCGCGAGGUGGAGCCAAUCUCACAAAACCGAUCGUAGUCCGGAUUGCACUCUGCAACUCGAGUGCAUGAAGUCGGAAUCGCUAGUAAUCGCAGGUCAGCAUACUGCGGUGAAUACGUUCCCGGGUCUUGUACACACCGCCCGUCACACCAUGGGAGUGGGGGAUACCAGAAGUAGGUAGGGUAACCGCAAGGAGCC
Molecule: ribosomal RNA, 823 nt
Filed under: uncultured bacterium
Lineage: Bacteria
Description: bacterial SSU rRNA
Rfam family: Bacterial small subunit ribosomal RNA
Source: RNAcentral